RNAcentral lists this ribosomal RNA (880 nucleotides) under Nematoda environmental sample. Its description in RNAcentral is "SSU rRNA". It matches the Rfam family "Eukaryotic small subunit ribosomal RNA", at positions 111 to 1002 of the family's 1831-position model. Lineage: Eukaryota; Metazoa; Nematoda. The record is from RNAcentral.
UAUAAUUUACUUGAAUUUGACAACCCUACUUGGAUACCGGUGGUAAUUCUAGCGCUAAUACAUGCACCAAAGCUCCGACCGCGAGGGAAGAGCGCAUUUAUUAGAACAAAACCACACGGCUUCGGCCGUCCAAUGUUGACUCAGAAUAACUAAGCUGAUCGCAUGGUCUUGCACCGGCGACGUUUCUUUCAAGUAUCUGCCUUAUCAACUUUCGAUGGUAGUGUAUCUGACUACCAUGGUGAUGACGGGUAACGGAGGAUGAGGGUUCGACUCCGGAGAAGGGGCCUGAGAAAUGGCCACUACGUCUAAGGAUGGCAGCAGGCGCGCAAAUUACCCACUCUCAGUACGAGGAGGUAGUGACGAGAAAUAACAAGACCGUUCUCACAAGAGGCCGGUCAUUGGAAUGGGUACAAUUUAAACCCUUUAACGAGUAUCUAUGAGAGGGCAAGUCUGGUGCCAGCAGCCGCGGUAAUUCCAGCUCUCAAAAUGCAUAGAAUUAUUGCUGCGGUUAAAAAGCUCGUAGUUGGAUCUGUGCUGGCCUCCCGGUCCACCUCCGGGUGCGCACUGGGCAGGUUGGCUUUUCUGUCGUUUACGCGGAUGUUCCUAACGGGGCAACCGCAUCGCGACAAUUUUACCUUGAACAAAUCAGAGUGCUCAAAACAGGCGUUUCGCUUGAAUGUUCGUGCAUGGAAUAAUAGAAGAGGAUUUCGGUUCUAUUUUAUUGGUUUUAUAGACUGAGAUAAUGGUUAACAGAGACAAACGGGGGCAUUCGUAUUGCUGCGUGAGAGGUGAAAUUCUUGGACCGUAGCAAGACGGACUACAGCGAAAGCAUUUGCCAAGAAUGUCUUCAUUAAUCAAGAACGAAAGUCAGAGGUUCGAA